GAGAAACAUUUGGGGUGCUAUUAGCUGAGAUUAUACCCAUGGAACCUGAAACAGUUAGGACUGGCGCAGGGAAAUGUCUUGAAAUUUUG
Enterococcus faecalis V583 is the source of this 89-nucleotide regulatory RNA element. It matches the Rfam family "TPP riboswitch aptamer (THI element)". Rfam says of the family: Vitamin B(1) in its active form thiamin pyrophosphate (TPP) is an essential coenzyme that is synthesised by coupling of pyrimidine and thiazole moieties in bacteria. NCBI's taxonomy places the organism in Bacteria, Bacillati, Bacillota, Bacilli, Lactobacillales, Enterococcaceae. The record is from Rfam.